Molecule: ribosomal RNA, 508 nt
Filed under: uncultured bacterium
Lineage: Bacteria
Description: bacterial SSU rRNA
Rfam family: Bacterial small subunit ribosomal RNA
Source: RNAcentral
AACGAACGCUGGCGGCAGGCCUCAUACAUGCAAGUCGAGCGGACGGACCCCUUCGGGGGCGAGUUAGCGGCGAACGGGUGAGUAACAGGUGGAUGAUCUGCCUCCCGGUGGGGGAUAACGGCUGGAAACGGCCGCUAAUACCGCAUUCGGUUGAUGCGUUGCGGCGCAUCAAAGAAAGGCGCUUCACGGCGCUGCCGGGAGAUGAGUCCGCCCCCCAUUAGCUAGUUGGCGGGAUAACAGCCCACCAAGGCUUCGAUGGGUAGCCGAACUGAGAGGUUGAUCGGCCACACUGGAACUGAGACACGGUCCAGACACCUACGGGUGGCAGCAGUAGGGAAUAUUGGGCAAUGGGCGAAAGCCUGACCCAGCCAUGCCGCGUGAGUGACGAAGGUCCUAUGGAUUGUAAAGCUCUUUUCUGAGGAAAGAACAUCCGGGGUAGGAAAUGACCCCGGCUUGACGGUACCUCAGGAAUAAGGAACGGCUAACUCCGUGCCAGCAGCCGCGGUAA